GUUCUGCAGUUAAAUAUAAUUUAUUAUCUUUAUUCUUGCAAUAUUUACUGAAACUUUCCGAAAGCCAAGGCAUACAGCAUAAACCAGUGGUGGUAAAGUGAAAUUACUUCACCUACAUGCAUGUGCCAUUGAAUUAUUAAGCCCUUCUCUGGGGAUAACCGACUGUCGUUAUAGUUCCCUCCAUAGCAGUCACAGAUAAGCGUGGCUGAUUCUUUUUGAGUUUGCAGAGCUUUGGGUGCAUGGUGGCGCAGGGAAUUCGCUUCAGCGACUGCAGUCAGAGAUAAGAGGAAGAAAGGGAUAUGUAGAUGUUCUUUGCUGGGAAAGGAUGCGGAAGAAAAGGUAGGCAGAGUGAUUCUACAUUUCACUCUCCACCAACAGUGUGGCCUGCAUAAUGAUAACUUUCUCAAAGUGAACAAAGGCAUCAAAAGGGCUGAGAGAAGCAAGGAUUAUUUAAAUACUAGGUGUAUUAAAAGUCCUGGUGUGCCUUUCCAUCCCUAAAGUCAUCCGGAAAAAAAAAAGAAAAAAAAAGGAAAGGAAAAAAAAAGAACACAGUUCAGUUUUAGCCUGCUGAAAAGCAUGUAUAAACAAUGGAAUCAGCAGUGUUAAAUAGCAGCUGACUAAGGGGCAGAGAUAAAAAGGCAGGCGUUCAUUCAAGCUAAGCCAGAAUUAGCUCAUGUCAUACAAGAAAGGCUGCGAGAAAGUGAUAUGACAGUACCUAGCUCUAAAUUCUAGUUUUGUCACUAGUUUAUCUUGAACACACGGUUCCUGAAGUCUGAGUAUGGGACGUUUCAUUCAAUAUACAGCACCUGUCAGGCAUUCGUUCGCUUUGGAUGGAUUUUUCACCUGCAUUUGGUGUGAAUAUUUCAGGUUAGUCUUUGAUCUCGGGAGAGGGCGAGGAUUAUUAUUUCUCACCUUUAAGAGAAGCAGAGAGAAAUGGGAAAGACUGGCCAUGUGAUUCCUGCCUCAGUAAGGUAAUAAGGACAGAAUAAAAAUGAUCUGCGUUUUGGCA
Molecule: long non-coding RNA, 1009 nt
Organism: Cyprinus carpio (common carp)
Lineage: Eukaryota; Metazoa; Chordata; Actinopteri; Cypriniformes; Cyprinidae
Source: Ensembl